GCCGCGGAGGCCGUUGACUGCCUGGUGGAUGCCCUUCGGGGAGGCAUCAGGUGGAGACUGGGCAGGCAACCGGAGGAGGAAAUAUCGGAGAAGAUGAUCGGAGGUGGUCCCAUUGAGCGCUCUUUUAAAAACAAGUGUACUACGAAGACACAGUCCCCUUCCUCUAGCGCCAAUCCUGUUGGUGCAAAAAUCCAUCGGCAUCGGAGAAGCUGGAGUCGAGGGAGCCACGGUCGCCAUUGGGACCUGCAAAGAAAGUCUAAACCGGAGUUGGGGGUGCUCCGACAAGAC
This 288-nucleotide long non-coding RNA is filed under the name Elaeis guineensis (African oil palm). RNAcentral's name for it is "long non-coding RNA (EGUI_LNC072115)". Lineage: Eukaryota; Viridiplantae; Streptophyta; Magnoliopsida; Arecales; Arecaceae. The record is from RNAcentral.